Molecule: long non-coding RNA, 669 nt
Organism: Daphnia magna
Lineage: Eukaryota; Metazoa; Arthropoda; Branchiopoda; Diplostraca; Daphniidae
Exons: 2
Source: RefSeq, a predicted model, not a curated record
UUUUUAUCGUCUUCUUACGUUCGUAUCGUGAUACAUUUUUAAUUUGUUCUGUACUUUUACUUUUUUGUGUGAAGGAUAUCAAGAACUUAAUUUCCAUUCCGGAAUAUGGAAUGGAACCAAAAAAAUUAAGAAGAGCCCAAGAACUAAAAAGACUUUCUCCUUCCAUUUUCUUCUCGCCUUCCAGCCUCUCCGGCGAAGAAAAACAAAAAUGAAUUCCUGAUCUUAUUGCAACAAAAUCUAUGCAAAAAGGUAUUCCAUUCCGACAUGCAAAUUCUUUUCAGACCACUCGAGUUUUACUUCAAACCAAGAAACUUCGUGGUCGAUCUUCUGUGAUACAGGUAAGAAUAAAUUUGUCAAGUACGAAAGAAAGAAAAAUCGAAUUUUCUAAUCGUGGUCAAGUAUAACUCAACAACUGAAAAUUAUAAAAGAAAAUGGUCCAAAACAUAAGCUACGUGAAAAGUGUCCUCUAUCUCCCGCCCAAGCUUCAACACUCGGAGAGGAAAGAAAUCGUCAAACUAUGGAACUCAAGCUUAUUACGAUAUUUUGGAUAUAUCGACACGACAUGCAUACACGUUGAUAUUUUUUUUAAAGGGUUAUAAGAGCUAAAUUCACAUCAGAAACGUGUAACGAUUAAUAAUGAACCGAUGAAUUAAUAUGUGAUAGAAAGGG